This 360-nucleotide ribosomal RNA is filed under the name uncultured bacterium. Its description in RNAcentral is "bacterial SSU rRNA". It matches the Rfam family "Bacterial small subunit ribosomal RNA", at positions 917 to 1271 of the family's 1533-position model. The record is from RNAcentral.
GGACCCGCACAAGUAGUGGAGCAUGUGGUUUAAUUCGAAGAUACGCGCAGAACCUUACCAACACUUGACAUGUUCGUCGCGACUUUAAGAGAUUAGAGUUUUUCGGUUCGGCCGGACGAAACACAGGUGCUGCAUGGCUGUCGUCAGCUCGUGUCGUGAGAUGUUGGGUUAAGUCCCGCAACGAGCGCAACCCUCACUUUUAGUUGCCAUCAUUAAGUUGGGCACUCUGAAAGAACUGCCAGUGAUAAGCUGGAGGAAGGUGGGGAUGACGUCAAGUCCUCAUGGCCCUUACGUGUUGGGCCUACACACGUGCUACAAUGGUAUCUACAACAGGAAGCAAGACUAGCGAAGAUUAGCAAA